Molecule: non-coding RNA, 359 nt
Organism: Selenomonas sputigena ATCC 35185
Lineage: Bacteria; Bacillati; Bacillota; Negativicutes; Selenomonadales; Selenomonadaceae
Rfam family: Bacterial RNase P class A
About the family: Ribonuclease P (RNase P) is a ubiquitous endoribonuclease, found in archaea, bacteria and eukarya as well as chloroplasts and mitochondria.
Source: Rfam
CUGAGCAUCUGGGCAAUCGCGGGCAUUUCGCCUGAGGAAAGUCCGGGCUUCAGAGGGCAGCGUGCUGGAUAACGUCCAGCGGGGGCAACCCUAGGGAAAGUGCCAUAGAGACUUAGACCGCCGCAUGGCAUAAGCCGUGUUGGCAAGGGUGGAAAGGUGCGGUAAGAGCGCACCAGCAGUCAGGUGACUGGCUGGCUAGGCAAACCCCACGCGAAGCAAGACCGAAUAGGGAAGGGAUGAGGCGGCCCGCCGACCUUCCGGGUAGCGUCGCUUGAGCCGUCCGGCAACGGGCGGUCCAGAUAAAUGAUUGCCACUGCCGUAAGGCAGCACAGAACCCGGCUUAUAGGACGCCCAGCGAG